This 89-nucleotide transfer RNA is filed under the name Mustela putorius furo (domestic ferret). It matches the Rfam family "tRNA". From Rfam's summary of the family: Transfer RNA (tRNA) molecules are approximately 80 nucleotides in length. Lineage: Eukaryota; Metazoa; Chordata; Mammalia; Carnivora; Mustelidae. The record is from Rfam by way of RNAcentral.
GCCUGGUUAGCUCAGCUGGUUUAGCAUCUGACUCUACCUCAGUUCAAGUCUUGAUCUCAGGUUUGUGAGUUCAAGCCCCACACUAGGCU